GGUGAUUGAACAAAGAUGGUGGGCGGUUUGAGGUCCGUGUCGUCGAUUUACAACAAAGGGUCUCAUGCAGCUAAGGACUCCGGGAGGGGUCGAGGUCGAGGUCGAGGCAGGGGUCGAGGGAACGGUGCAUUGAGGUCACGGUUGCCUGCAGCUGAGACCUCCGGCAGGGCUCAAGGGAAUGGUGUUGCGAGGUCACCGUCGCAUGUCGCUUCUUCAUCGUCUGAGGAGGACGACGAUGUACCUUCCACGCAUGACUCUGGUGAUGACGAGGAGGUAGAGGUGGAGCAGGAGCAGGAGUAGGAGGAGGCAGCAGGGGGUUCCGCUUCCUCUUGUUGGUCGAGUAUUUGGUUGCGAGGUCCCUCGACCCUCCCUAAGCGACCGAUAUCUUUUGAGAGACACCCGCUGAUUCGACCCACUGGAAAAAGGGGUUGGACGGUGGUCGCUCCAGGUGAUCACAAAUGCCUUCCCAAUGGCAUCCUGGGUCUUUUGUGCAGGCUACACUUCCCUGGCAUGGUAGCGUUUGGCGGUUCCAUGGAGCCGACGUACACGUGGGAGCACUACAUCGCCUUCCCCGAUUUACCAGAUCGGGAUGGUAGGGUAUUCACCAACAAGGCAUAGCGGGUGGUGGCCGAACUAUGAGAUUUCUAUAGAUGCCAGGAGGGAUAUGAGAACAGGUCGGCCAGUAUGGCACACAAAGCCCGUUUUAAACUUGUGAAUGAUAUACAUUAUGAGGCGCGCAUCCAGGCCAUCGUGACAUACCACGCUCACUUCCUUGGAGUGAAAGUGCCAAAAAUUGAGGCAAGAAACAUGAGGCUGACACAAGAACAAUACCUGCAGGUGCCUCCAUGGUGGAUCGCCCAGAAUCUCCAGUGCUAGACACACAUGGUGGACAAAUGGUGCUCGGAGGGUUGGUAGGAGACGCACAACGCUUGCCGGGAGCGGCAUUUGAUGAUGCCAGGCGCACCACACUAUCAAGGCAACCUUAGCCUCGACGAAUACGCGACUAGAUGGUCGUCGUCACAUGGGCUUUGGCCCAUAUGGGGAAGGCGAUGUCCGACGUCAACUACUACCAGGAGGACCUCCCCUCGGCAUACAACAAUGCGGCCAUCCACAGCCACCUCACUGAGUACACACCGAUGGCAAGGGAGGUCCAUGGGCCACAGUAUGAUCCGAGCAUCCAGGGCCUUGAUGGAGAAGUCGUCAUGAUGGUGGGAGGAGGCAAGAAGCACGGGCAGUACUGGAUUGGGGACAACACACUCGUCACGGCCACUUUUCCCAAACUCUCCCAGAUUCGAGCGAGGAGCACGAGCUCAAGCCCAGCCAUACGCCUACGGCCGGACACUGCACAGUUUUGGAUGGAGGCACUACAUGUUAUUUCAGUUUCAUUCGUUGUUCAUUGUUUUUUACAUACAUUUGCUUUUCAUUGUAACAAUGGGGUGAAAUAUUGUAGGCCCAGCCAGAAGAAGAGAGUAGGCUACGGGAGGAGAUGGCACAGAGGAUGGAGGCUGAUCGACAGAGGAUGGAAGCCGAGUGGCAGAGGAUGGAGCUGAUGUUUCAGUGGAUACAAAGUCUUGGCGGGAGAAUGGGUCAACCUCUGUACCGAUUCUAUUUCCUCCUACUCCACCUCCUCCUAUAACUACUCUUAAUCAACCGGCGGCAUCGAAUGAUGGGCCUCAGGACCCAGAUCUGUCGCCGUGGCAGCAGUGGCCACCUCAGUGACUACUUGUGCUUGUGGACCGCUUGUAUGGACUUGCUAUGUAUGGACUAGCUUGUAUUUGCAUUUGUGGACUACUGGUGGUUGUGGAUGAACGAUACUAAUGUUUUAUUUGCAUUUGUGGAUUAUUUGUGACUA
Molecule: long non-coding RNA, 1852 nt
Organism: Panicum virgatum (switchgrass)
Lineage: Eukaryota; Viridiplantae; Streptophyta; Magnoliopsida; Poales; Poaceae
Exons: 6
Source: RefSeq, a predicted model, not a curated record